CUGCAGCUCAAGUGGUGACCGCUAUUAUUGGGCCUAAAACGUUCGUAGCCGGUUUGGUAAAUGUUUGGGUAAAUCGUGUAGCUUAACUAUACGAAUUCCGGAUAGACUGCCAAACUUGAGACCGGGAGAAGCUAGAGGUACUCCUGGGGUAGAGGUGAAAUUCUGUAAUCCUAGGGGGACCACCAGUGGCGAAGGCGUCUAGCUAGAACGGGCCUGACGGUGAGGAACGAAGCCCUGGGGCGCAAACCGGAUUAGAUACCCGAGUAGUCC
Molecule: ribosomal RNA, 270 nt
Filed under: uncultured archaeon
Lineage: Archaea
Description: partial 16S ribosomal RNA
Rfam family: Archaeal small subunit ribosomal RNA
Source: RNAcentral